CACCUGGUUGGGAGGUUUGUUCCACUGAAGCAACCAGUCUAAAAUCGUAAUGUUUCUGCUGUAGAACGCACGUAGGGUUUCGACAUUUGUCUACAGGUUUCGUUCACACCUCAUCCGUCUAUUCGUUUCUGACAAAGGGUCUUUUCGCAGAUACGCUCGUAGUGUGCGGGUCGACUAGGGGGCUGGAAAAAGCUCUUUCCUCGUAGACAAGCGUUUCUGUCACGAACAGAGGUUCCUCAUUCUGCGACAGAAACGCAGCGUUACAGUUUUGAUGGAUGACCAAAGAACCCGCUUCUUGUUUUUUCUCUGAGUGGUUCCCGCGAGCUGCAUGUGUAGCAUUUUGUAGAUCAAAAUCUGUGAAAGCUCCAAAACACCUACCCGGUCAAUUUGUGCCUCUGCGGAAAGCAACGCUGUGAAUCUUCCAGUGCGUCAUCCUUUGUUCCAGAUAUUAUAGUAUCUUUGCAAAAUAUAAGACUAGUCAUUCGUUUCAAAAAACGUUGAGCGAGUUUGCUUCGCCUGGGUAUGCUGCUGCCUGAUAAGCUGAGAGUAUAGAAAGCGCUUUAUCAACUUCAAGAGCGUCGACACACUGCUGAUUCAAAUCUCAAUUUGUGCGGUUGUCAAACGUUUUUUUCCCUCUGCUGUGGAGAGGCAGAGACUACACCUUUUUCUCCAUGGAUAGAGGGUUUUAAGUGAACUGGGAGAUCACAAAUGCACCAUUUUUUACCGUUUUGGUGAUACGACGACAUAACCCUAACCUAAAAGCAGAAGACAGAUGCGUUGCUUUUGUGGACUGAGAUGUCUCAUGUGGUGUACCAACCACAUUCAAGAGAACUCUCCACUGGUGAGGUAGUUCUUUCUCUUGUUUGUCUGGCUCUUGGUUGGCGGUGCGUAAAUGCAGGAAUAGCAGUUAACCAGUGCGAGCGUCACUUUCUAUCGUACCCCCCGUCGUGUUGUCUUUUUCAAGAGUUGAGAAACGUUUUUCUGCUUCGAUAGCCCGAAAGAGGAAAUGCCCCAAUGCGAUUGCCAGUUCUUG
Molecule: long non-coding RNA, 1033 nt
Filed under: Toxoplasma gondii VEG
Lineage: Eukaryota; Apicomplexa; Conoidasida; Eucoccidiorida; Sarcocystidae
Source: RNAcentral